UGGGGAAUUUUGGACAAUGGGCGCAAGCCUGAUCCAGCCAUGCCGCGUGCGGGAAGAAGGCCUUCGGGUUGUAAACCGCUUUUGUCAGGGAAGAAAUCUUCUGAGUUAAUACCUCGGGAGGAUGACGGUACCUGAAGAAUAAGCACCGGCUAACUACGUGCCAGCAGCCGCGGUAAUACGUAGGGUGCAAGCGUUAAUCGGAAUUACUGGGCGUAAAGCGUGCGCAGGCGGUUUUGUAAGACAGAGGUGAAAUCCCCGGGCUCAACCUGGGAACUGCCUUUGUGACUGCAAGGCUUGAGUGCGGCAGAGGGGGAUGGAAUUCCGCGUGUAGCAGUGAAAUGCGUAGAUAUGCGGAGGAAACACCGAUGGCGAAGGCAACCCCCCUGGGCCUGCACUGACGCUCAUGCACGAAAGCGUGGGGAGCAAACAGGAUUAGAUACCCUGGUAGUCCACGCCCUAAACGAUGUCAACUGGUUGUUGGGAAGGUUCCUUCUCAGUAACGUAGCUAACGCGUGAAGUUGACCGCCUGGGGAGUACGGCCGCAAGGUUGAAACUUAAAUGAAUUGACGGGGUCAUAGC
Molecule: ribosomal RNA, 579 nt
Filed under: uncultured bacterium
Lineage: Bacteria
Description: partial 16S ribosomal RNA
Rfam family: Bacterial small subunit ribosomal RNA
Source: RNAcentral